AGUGAACGCUGGCGGUAGGCCUAACACAUGCAAGUCGAACGGCAGCACAGGAGAGCUUGCUCUCUAGGUGGCGAGUGGCGGACGGGUGAGGAAUACAUCGGAAUCUGCCCAGUCGUGGGGGAUAACGUAGGGAAACUUACGCUGAUACCGCAUACGACCUUCGGGUGAAAGAGGGGGAUCGCAAGACCUCUCGCGAUUGGAUGAGCCGAUGUCGGAUUAGCUAGUUAGCGGGGUAAUGGCCCACCAAGGCGACGAUCCGUAGCUGGUCUGAGAGGAUGAUCAGCCACACUGGAACUGAGACACGGUCCAGACUCCUACGGGAGGCAGCAGUGGGGAAUAUUGGACAAUGGGCGCAAGCCUGAUCCAGCCAUACCGCGUGGGUGAAGAAGGCCUUCGGGUUGUAAAGCCCUUUUGUUGGGAAAGAAAUCUUUCAGGCUAAUACCCUGGGAGGAUGACGGUACCCAAAGAAUAAGCACCGGCUAACUUCGUG
Molecule: ribosomal RNA, 490 nt
Filed under: uncultured bacterium
Lineage: Bacteria
Description: partial 16S ribosomal RNA
Rfam family: Bacterial small subunit ribosomal RNA
Source: RNAcentral